Molecule: ribosomal RNA, 441 nt
Filed under: uncultured bacterium
Lineage: Bacteria
Description: partial 16S ribosomal RNA
Rfam family: Bacterial small subunit ribosomal RNA
Source: RNAcentral
CCUACGGGGGGCAGCAGUGGGGAAUAUUGCACAAUGGGGGAAACCCUGAUGCAGCAACGCAGCGUGAGUGAAGGAGUAUUUCGGUAUUUAAAGCUUUUUCAGUAGGGAAGAAGAGUGACGGUACCUGACUAAUAUGUCCCGGCUAACUACGUGCCAGCAGGCGCGGUAAUACGUAGGGGGCAAGCGUUUUCCGGAUUUACUGGGUGUAAAGGGAGCGUAGACGGCUGUGCAAGUCUGAAGUGAAAGCCCGUGGCUCAACCGCGGAAUUGCAUUGGAAACUGUAUGGCUUGAGUACUGGUGAGGCAGGCGGAAUUCCUAGUGUAGCGGUGAAAUGCGUAGAUAUUAGGAGGAACACCAGUGGCGAAGGCGGCCUGCUGAACAGAAACUGAAGUUGAGGCUCGAAAGCGUGGGGAGCAAACAGGAUUAGAUACCCGAGUAGUC